UACGUAGGGGGCUAGCGUUGUCCGGAAUCAUUGGGCGUAAAGAGCGUGUAGGCGGCCCGGUAAGUCUGCUGUGAAAGCCGGGGGCUCAACCCUCGAAUGCCGGUGGAUACUGGCGGGCUAGAGUACGGAAGAGGCGAGUGGAAUUCCUGGUGUAGCGGUGAAAUGCGCCGAUAUCAGGAGGAACACCUAUUGCGAAGGCAGCUCGCUGGGACGUAACUGACGCUGAGACGCGAAAGCGUGGGGAGCAAACAGG
This 253-nucleotide ribosomal RNA is filed under the name uncultured bacterium. RNAcentral describes it as "partial 16S ribosomal RNA". It matches the Rfam family "Bacterial small subunit ribosomal RNA", at positions 524 to 776 of the family's 1533-position model. The record is from RNAcentral.